RNAcentral lists this ribosomal RNA (231 nucleotides) under uncultured bacterium. RNAcentral describes it as "partial 16S ribosomal RNA". It matches the Rfam family "Bacterial small subunit ribosomal RNA", at positions 524 to 754 of the family's 1533-position model. The record is from RNAcentral.
UACGAGAGGCCCAAACGUUAUUCGGAAUUACUGGGCUUAAAGAGUUCGUAGGCGGCAUUGCAAGUAGGGUGUGAAAGCCCUCGGCUCAACCGAGGAAUUGCGCUCUAAACUGCAGUGCUUGAGGAACCUAGAGGUGAGCAGAACAGAUGGUGGAGCGGUGAAAUGCGUUGAUAUCAUCUGGAAUACCGGAGGCGAAGGCGGCUCACUGGGAGUUUUCUGACGCUGAGGAAC